UGGCGGACGGGUGAGUAAUGUCUGGGAAACUGCCUGAUGGAGGGGGAUAACUACUGGAAACGGUAGCUAAUACCGCAUAACGUCGCAAGACCAAAGAGGGGGACCUUCGGGCCUCUUGCCAUCGGAUGUGCCCAGAUGGGAUUAGCUAGUAGGUGGGGUAAAGGCCCACCUAGGCGACGAUCCCUAGCUGGUCUGAGAGGAUGACCAGCCACACUGGAACUGAGACACGGUCCAG
This 235-nucleotide ribosomal RNA is filed under the name uncultured bacterium. RNAcentral's name for it is "partial 16S ribosomal RNA". It matches the Rfam family "Bacterial small subunit ribosomal RNA", at positions 96 to 334 of the family's 1533-position model. The record is from RNAcentral.